GAAGUUUUUCAUCUGUUGUUGUGGUUUGAUAUCUAACUAUCUAAUCAAGCAUCAUCAGUGUGUCUCUUGUUGCAGGGAUCAAACAUGGUCCUUCUCCCACCUGAUUGGAUGGUGGAGAUGAAGGAGGAAGAGGAGGAUGAAGAGGAAGAGGAUGAAGAGGAGACCAAAUCAGUGAUCUAAAAGUCUGCACUUUGUGUCUGGACUUUGGGCUGACUGGUUGUUUGAAAACCAUG
Non-coding RNA from Labrus bergylta (ballan wrasse), 233 nucleotides. NCBI's taxonomy places the organism in Eukaryota, Metazoa, Chordata, Actinopteri, Labriformes, Labridae. The record is from RefSeq and is a predicted model, not a curated record.